GAUGAACGCUAGCUACAGGCUUAACACAUGCAAGUCGAGGGGUAACGAGAGGAAAGCUUGCUUUCCUUGUCGACGACCGGCGCACGGGUGAGUAAUGCGUAUCCAACCUGCCCCCAACUAGGGAAUAACCUUGCGAAAGUAAGACUAAUACCCUAUAAUUUCCUCAGAUGUCAUCUGACGAGGAAUAAAGAUUUAUCGGUUGUGGAUGGGGAUGCGUCUGAUUAGCUUGUUGGCAGGGUAACGGCCCACCAAGGCAACGAUCAGUAGGGGUUCUGAGAGGAAGGUCCCCCACAUUGGAACUUAGACACGGUCCAAACUCCUACGGGAGGCAGCAGUGAGGAAUAUUGGUCAAUGGGCGGAAGCCUGAACCAGCCAAGUAGCGUGCAGGAUGACGGCCCUAUGGGUUGUAAACUGCUUUUAUACAGGAAUAAAGUUAGCCACGUGUGGUUAUUUGUAGGUACUGUAUGAAUAAGGACCGGCUAAUUCCGUGCCAGCCGCCGCCGUAA
RNAcentral lists this ribosomal RNA (506 nucleotides) under uncultured bacterium. RNAcentral describes it as "partial 16S ribosomal RNA". It matches the Rfam family "Bacterial small subunit ribosomal RNA", at positions 28 to 523 of the family's 1533-position model. The record is from RNAcentral.